Long non-coding RNA from Melospiza georgiana, 4535 nucleotides. RefSeq lists it as uncharacterized. The transcript has 2 exons. The record is from RefSeq and is a predicted model, not a curated record. NCBI's taxonomy places the organism in Eukaryota, Metazoa, Chordata, Aves, Passeriformes, Passerellidae.
UGCAAGGACUCAGAAAUCAGCUUUGUCAGGAAUAACUUGUACUUUUCUUGACCUGCCUGGAACUUUGUUUUCAAUUGUUCAGCUAUAAAAGCCUGACUAGGUGUCUAUGACUGGUUUGCUUUAUUUUUCUACAGCUCUGUAUUAUAUAACUGUAAUCCUGUACAUACUCUUGCAACAAGUAGAACAAAAUAGUAGUGGCUCUGACAUAAUAGUGUAAAGCAGAUAAAUGCAGGUUUGUUAUGGCAGUGGAGGAUUUAAAAGCGGGUUGGAAACUGUGUGGAAUGUAGAGGAACCCAGGCAUGGGAUGGUAAGAGAAGUGACCCAGGGUUGGCUCUAGAGGGCCUAGACCUGUAAACUUAACUAUGGACAAUUAAAGGAAUGCAGAGUAACUCGGAAAAAAGCAAGAAGUGCCCACUAUAUGCAACACACUUUCUAUAUACUAAAUUCAGCUUUAACAUGGACCUACAGCCCUGCAAAGAAAGAGCAAAGUUUGCAUGGUGUGUUAGAAGAACAAAUAAAUGACCCAAACCAGCUCCUACAGUGAGGGAGAGGCAGUUACCAUUAACAUUAUAUUGCUCUUGUCAAUGCAUUCAGGAUCCUGAAAACUUGCAUGUCCAACUGAAGAUAUCAACUGCAAGAGGCCAAGAAGCAGUAGAAGGGUGAAUAUAAAUGCAAGGAAAGGGGUAGAUAAAAAGAAGUCCAUGUUUAAUAAUUUUACUUUAUUACUAUUACUGAUUCUUCCACAAUAAAAGAGAGUUUGAUAAUUUGUUUUUCUUUAUUUUCCUUUCAUUUCCUAUAUUCCUUUAUUUGAAGGAAUAAAUAUUCUUCAAAUAACUAUUUAGGAUUUAAAUUACCCAAAGAAAAAAUACUUUGUUUACAUAUAUAAGAUUUGGGGGAUUUUUGCCUUUAGGAAGAUAGAAACUUAAGUUUAGAUCCCUGAAAAAUGGUACUGAAAGAUUUUUUAGUGUUUCAACACAAGGAAAUAACCUUCUAGUUCAGUUAAACUCAUGCAACCUGAUGUUCAUUUGGAACAGCUUCUCCUACAAUCUUCUACACAUUGUUUUUUUCUUCUACAUACCCUUCUUUCCAAUUUGUAUGUACCAACCUUUGCAUUUAAAAAAAUCCACAGGGCUAUAUAUAUUUGUUCAGGCAUUUGAAGAAAAAAGACUUUCAUGACUUUCUGUCUAUGUCUAAGAUAUUUAAUCCUAACAGAAUGCUAUUGGAAUAACAUUUUUUAUUUCAGUUUCAAGAAACAUGGAAUGGAAGAAAAACUUGAUAUAAUGCAUUUAUUUCUAUAACAACCUACUCUGACAAAACUUCAUUAUACUUCAGGCUAUCAACUGGAGCAUCUGUUCACAUAUCCCUUAAACUGUAAAGUGGGCAAUGUAUCAGCACAAAGUGCAUGUUAAAACACCAGAGUGAUAUUAGGAUCAUCCCUUCUCAAGUGAAAAUGAAUACUUUUAACCAAACUUUUGCAUAUGUCCUUUCCAAAAAACAAAACAAAAAAAGAGGGAGUGUAUACCCUACACAUUACCAGAAUAUAUUGGCUGCUACAUGCAAAAAAGUAUCAUGUAAGUGAAAACAUUAGAAGAGACUACACAGAAUAUGGUUUCCCCAUGGAAAUAUUUCUGCAAGACAAGCAGCCUAUAGGCAAAGUAGGUUGAAGCUAUUCCAGCACCAGGUAAAAACUUUCAAGCUGAAGGCAUCCCAAAAAUCCACUCAUUUUCACUUUUUUUGCGCACAUGUAACAGCUACUUCAAGCAGAUCUCAAAAUCUGAAAGAGUAUGAGCUUUGUUUGAAACAAGUGUUAUUUUCUUACUAACUGUGCUAAUUCAGCAAAAUGGUAAAGCUGAGCUGAAUCAUCAUGCAAAUCUGUGAGAAGCUUUAAAAUACUAGCUGCAAAAUGAAAACACAUUUUAUAUUUAUUUGUAAAGCCAAGAGAUUAAAAAUUUGAAACUUACAUCUGCUGAACUUUACAAUAUACUACAGAGCAAGAAUAAUAAUAUUAAAAAUUUUAAAAUGAACCCUAAACCUAGUAGGAGGCACAGUCACAACCAUUUGCAAUAGAAUUGGCUAUCCUUUAUGUCACAUUAUUAUAAUGUACAGAAAAUACACAUUUCCUGAUAGAGCCAUCAGUUAUGUUUAUGUUCCAGUACAAUACACAUUCAGAACAUACUUCAUUAAAAAGUAGCUUGUAAGAGAAACAGACACACAGCUUGCAUCAGAAUUCUAGCUGCAGAGGACCUUAAAAAUAUCUACAAUUGCACUUCCAGCUUCAUGUUUAGUUUUCAAUCUCCUAUAAACCAAAACACCUGAAUGAAGUUGGCCACUAUUCUGAAACCCAUUGACCACCUUUUCUCACAAGAGAGCAAAUGUGGUUGAAGCUAUACAACCACAUUCAAGUGUUGUCCCAAAACAGACUGCUACAUGCAACCAGCAAGCUCCAGACAAGUUCUGCAGCUUUCAAAGCAUGCAAAAAACUGAUAAACACUCUCAGCCUUCCAAAUGUCAGAGAGCAUUCAGGCAUAACUCCAGAGACAAGACAUCCUUGUUGAAGAUACUGCUCCAGAAAACAAUUCAGAGGAAUUGAACUGUCUUCUACCUGAAAUUGAUCCACAGAAUUCCUUCUUCACUAACAGCACAAAGAGAUGAGCCUUCCUUGACUUUUCUUCCUGGAAAUUGUAUUUUGUCUGCAUAGGCUCUCCUUCAGUAGGGAAAUAUGCCUAGAAGAUUCAAGAUAAGCAUCUUCCAUUGCUGCAAAUUGUUGGUCCAAAAGUUGUGACUGACCAGAAGGCACUAUGGUUACAUGCCAGCAUUUCAAGGGUUGUGCUUGAAUACUCAGCUGCUGAGCAGGCUGGAAAUAUGAGGCUGCAUGCAUCUGGUCACAAUUGACCCCAAACUCCUUAGUCUGCUAUUUCCUGUCUGCUGUAUGUCUCACUGAAUACCCAAAAUCACGAAUCAAAACAGUUCAACAGAGAAGGAAGAGAGAAAUAGCACCCAAAAUUUUUUAAAGGUAAGAAAAAAUCUAAAGUAAGAGCAGUUAAGGGGUCAGUUAACAAUUUUUCUGAUCAAAAUUAUGGUAAAAUUCUUAUUUUACUUCCAGGAAAUUGAAUUAAAAUGUGGUGAGAUUUGAUGUAGAUGAGUUGUCGUCUACAGGAGGACUCAUUACUUCAGUAAGCCUAAGGACAAGAAACUUAAGGACAUCUAUGGAUUAUAUUUCCUGCAACACAGCGCGUGGGAUUGAGUGCAAAUUUGCUGAUGACACCAAGGCUGUGGUCUGGUUGUGAUAUUGGAGGGAAGGGAUGCAAUCCAAGUGGACCCUGACAGGCAGAAGUUGGCCCAUGUGAACUUCAUGAAGCUGAACAAGGCAAAGUGCAAGGUGCUGCAUCUGGGUCAGAGCAAUUCCAAGCUCAAAUACGGUCUGGGUAGAGAACGGAUUGAGAAAAGCCCAGAGAAGAUGGACUUGUGGGUGUUGGUUAAUGAGAGGCUCAAAAUGAGCUGGCAAUGUGUUUUCAGCCCAGAAAGCCAAUCAUGUCCUGGGCUGCAUCAAAAGUAACAUGGCUAGCAAGGUGAGGGAGGUGUUCUUCUCCCUCUCCUCCUCUCUCCUGAGACCCCACCUGGAGUGCUGCAUCCAGCUCUGGGUUCACCAGCAUAAAAAGGAUGUGAACCUGCUGAAGCAAGAUCAGAGGAGGACCAUGAAAGAUGAUGAGAGGGCUGGAACUCUUCAUUUGUGAGGACAGGCUGAGGGAGUAGGGGUUUUUCAGCCUGGAGAAGAGCAGGUUCCAAGGAGACCUUAUGGCACCCUUCCACUAUAUUGAGGGGACUUACAAGAAUGCUGAGGGAACUGGUCACAAGGACAUAUAGUGAUAAGACAAGGGGCAAGGUUUAUAAACUAAAAGAGUGUAGGUUUAGACAGAUAGUAGGAAGAAAUACUUUACUGUGAGGGUACUGGAAUAAAUUUCUUAGAAAAGCUGUGAAUGCCCCAUUCCUGAAAGUGUUCAAGGCCAGGUUGGAUGGGGAUUGAGACACCUGGUCUAGUGUAAACUCUCCCUGCCCAUGGCAGAGGGGUUGGAAGGAAAUGGUCUUCAAGGUCCCUUCCAAGCCAAGAGUUCUAUGAUUCUAUGAUCAAAGACAUUGCAUGUCCAAAUUCUAAUGGCUGCAAACAGCCUGAGAAACUAAAUACAUCUCUGAAAUUCCGCUUGUAUUGUGUGUAGGUGGCAAGAUUUUGAGCAACAUGAGGGCUACAGGGAUGGCUGCUUUGGCAGGAGAUCAGAAUGAGUCUUUUCCCAGACUCAGCUGGUUUCAGCCUUCUCCACAAUGGACCCACAACUGGUAGAGUAUAUUUAAAGAGAUAAGAGAAAGGAGAAAGUGUGAGAAACGAUCCUGCAAGCAACAUUGUCUGACAAGAAGAGUGAGGAUGUGCUCCAGGUGAUGUACCAGACAGUCCUUUGUAACUCUUGCUGGAGCAAAUUAUUUCCCUGUAGCCCAUGUACUUGAUCACAUUGGAAUAAAUAUCCACCUUGCAGCCCUAGAAA